This 669-nucleotide long non-coding RNA is filed under the name Homo sapiens (human). RNAcentral's name for it is "non-protein coding lnc-SLC48A1-7:2". The record is from RNAcentral. Lineage: Eukaryota; Metazoa; Chordata; Mammalia; Primates; Hominidae.
CAGAGGCCCAAAAGGGAAAAAUGGUUGUGUGGGCUGGGACCAGCACCCACCCCCAUUUGCUGUGUGCAGCCUAGGGGCUUGGUGCCCUGCAUCUCAGCUGCUCCAGCCAUGGCUAAAAAAAGCUAAGGUACAGCUGAGUCCAUGGCUCCAGAGGGUGCAAUGGUAAGUUGUACUCAGUAUGUGGUAGCUUUAAAGAUAUUAUUUUUUGAUAAAUUCAAUAAAUGUUAAUACUACAUUACUAGCUUCAUUGUUAUUUAAGCACUAUGAGACAUUUGGUAACAAUCCAUGAAGCAUUUCUGUCUUACAUUAAAAUAAUAUGGCCAGACCUGUAUUAGUCCAUUCUUAUGCUGCUGUAAAGAAUUGCCCAAGGCUGAGUAAUUUGUAAAAGAAGAGAUUUAAUUGACUCACAGUUCCACAAAGCUGGGGAGGCCUCAGGAAACUUACAAUUAUGGUGGAAGGGGAAGCAAACAUGUCCUUCUUCACAUGGUGGCAGGAAGGAGAAGAUGAGCUAAACAGGGAAAAGCUCCUUAUAAAACCAUUAGAUCUCAUGAGAACUCACUAUCUCAAGAACAGCAUGAAGGUAGCUGCCCCCAUGAUUCAAUUACCUCCCAUCGGGUCCCUCCCACAACACAGAGGGGGUUGUGGGAACACAAUUCAAAAUGAGAUUUG